GGGGAAUAUUGCACAAUGGGCGAAAGCCUGAUGCAGCGACGCCGCGUGCGGGAUGAAGGCCUUCGGGUUGUAAACCGCUUUUGAUUGGGAGCAAGCGAGAGUGAGUGUACCUUUCGAAUAAGCACCGGCUAACUACGUGCCAGCAGCCGCGGUAAUACGUAGGGUGCAAGCGUUAUCCGGAAUUAUUGGGCGUAAAGAGCUCGUAGGCGGUUUGUCGCGUCUGGUGUGAAAGUCCAUCGCUUAACGGUGGAUCUGCGCCGGGUACGGGCAGGCUAGAGUGCGACAGGGGAGACUGGAAUUCCCGGUGUAACGGUGGAAUGUGUAGAUAUCGGGAAGAACACCAAUGGCGAAGGCAGGUCUCUGGGUCGUCACUGACGCUGAGGAGCGAAAGCGUGGGGAGCGAACAGGAUUAGAUACCCUGGUAGUCCACGCCGUAAACGGUGGAUGCUGGAUGUGGGGCCCAUUCCACGGGUUCCGUGUCGGAGCUAA
RNAcentral lists this ribosomal RNA (489 nucleotides) under uncultured bacterium. Its description in RNAcentral is "partial 16S ribosomal RNA". It matches the Rfam family "Bacterial small subunit ribosomal RNA", at positions 356 to 855 of the family's 1533-position model. The record is from RNAcentral.